Molecule: ribosomal RNA, 537 nt
Filed under: Triticum aestivum (bread wheat)
Lineage: Eukaryota; Viridiplantae; Streptophyta; Magnoliopsida; Poales; Poaceae
Description: partial small subunit ribosomal RNA
Source: RNAcentral
AUGACCCAGGAAGAGCUAGUGGAGACCGCAUGGGGCUUGGCCAAUAGUUGCAUGCCAUUUCUUUGGGUGAUUAGGCCAAACUUGGUUCAAUGUUCAGGGAAGGUAGGCCUACCUGAAGGCUUUGAGGAGGUGACACGUGGUAGGGGAAUGGUGGUGAGUUGGGCCCCUCAACAAGAAGUUCUUGGGCACCAAGCAGUUGGUGGCUUUUGGACCCAUAACGGCUGGAACUCGACGUUGGAAAGCAUAUGUGAGGGUGUUCCGAUGAUAUGUAGACCCCAUUUUGCCGAUCAGAUGAUAAAUGCCAGGUAUGUCCAGGAGGUCUGGAAGGUAGGAUUUGAGUUAGAGGGAAAGUUGGAGAGGGGGAAGAUUGAGAGGAGUGUUAGAAAGUUGUUUUGCCACGAAGAAGGUGGAGAGAUGAGGUGGAGGGCGAAAGAUCUCGAGGACAAAGCAACCGAGUGUAUGAAGAAAGGAGGCUCUUCAGAAACUAGAAUCAAUUUGUUGGUGAAUUUUAUGAUGUCAUUACCUUGUUCCAUUUAG